This is a long non-coding RNA of Bos taurus (domestic cattle), 507 nucleotides long. The record is from Ensembl. NCBI's taxonomy places the organism in Eukaryota, Metazoa, Chordata, Mammalia, Artiodactyla, Bovidae.
AGGCGCAAUGAAAGGGUCCCAGGGUGGAGGCGCAAAGCAGAAAGGAAACAGAUGGGAAGGUGGAAUGAAAAACUUUGUGCCCGGUGAAUUUGCCGCAGCUUGUGUGGCUUCUGGGGUGGUACACGCUGUGUGUGUUUUCUUUACUUCUGCACAAACAUAACCCUAGAUGGAAUCGGGGAAAAAGGCACGUUUUGGUAUCAGAGAUCCCUCUACAUGUCAGACCAUUAUUAGCAUCGCAUUCUUACUUGAAAGGAGAAUCGGAAAAGUGCUGAUGAAAUACAAAUAUUGAUGAUAGUAGAGGAUAAAAGAAGAAACAUCAGACUCAUUUUACCAGAUCAUCAAACGCCAAUGUGCUGAGAAGAGAUGCUCCAAGCAAGAGUUCCUAGAAAAACAGAGAUCACCUGAACCACUUUCUACCUUCAACCCUACAACACGCUUCUCUUUCUUUUCCUAAGCUGUGCUGAUAGUCUACAAGUUUACUCUUGUAAUUAGCUUGUAACAUGCUAA